CAGUCGAACGAAGCACUUUAUUUGAUUUCCUUCGGGACUGAUUAUUUUGUGCCUGAGUGGCGGACGGGUGAGUAACGCGUGGGUAACCUGCCUUGUACAGGGGGAUAACAGUUGGAAACGGCUGCUAAUACCGCAUAAGCGCACAGCAUCGCAUGAUGCAGUGUGAAAAACUCCGGUGGUAUAAGAUGGACCCGCGUUGGAUUAGCUAGUUGGUGAGGUAACGGCCCACCAAGGCGACGAUCCAUAGCCGACCUGAGAGGGUGACCGGCCACAUUGGGACUGAGACACGGCCCAGACUCCUACGGGAGGCAGCAGUGGGGAAUAUUGCACAAUGGGCGAAAGCCUGAUGCAGCGACGCCGCGUGAGCGAAGAAGUAUUUCGGUAUGUAAAGCUCUAUCAGCAGGGAAGAUAAUGACGGUACCUGACUAAGAAGCACCGGCUAAAUACGUGCCAGCAGCCGCGGUAAUACGUAUGGUGCAAGCGUUAUCCGGAUUUACUGGGUGUAAAGGGAGCGCAGGCGGUGCGGCAAGUCUGAUGUGAAAGCCCGGGGCUCAACCCCGGUACUGCAUUGGAAACUGUCGUACUAGAGUGUCGGAGGGGUAAGCGGAAUUCCUAGUGUAGCGGUGAAAUGCGU
RNAcentral lists this ribosomal RNA (634 nucleotides) under uncultured bacterium. Its description in RNAcentral is "bacterial SSU rRNA". It matches the Rfam family "Bacterial small subunit ribosomal RNA", at positions 59 to 691 of the family's 1533-position model. The record is from RNAcentral.